AGGGCGAGUAGCUCAGCGGAUAGAGCACAAGCCCCCGGUGCUUGGUGUCGCCAGUUCGAUUCUAGCAUCGCCCUA
This 75-nucleotide transfer RNA is filed under the name Desulfobacterales bacterium. RNAcentral describes it as "tRNA-Arg". It matches the Rfam family "tRNA". Rfam says of the family: Transfer RNA (tRNA) molecules are approximately 80 nucleotides in length. The record is from RNAcentral. Lineage: Bacteria; Pseudomonadati; Thermodesulfobacteriota; Desulfobacteria; Desulfobacterales.